Molecule: ribosomal RNA, 444 nt
Filed under: uncultured bacterium
Lineage: Bacteria
Description: partial 16S ribosomal RNA
Rfam family: Bacterial small subunit ribosomal RNA
Source: RNAcentral
UGGGGAAUUUUGGACAAUGGGCGCAAGCCUGAUCCAGCCAUGCCGCGUGCGGGAAGAAGGCCUUCGGGUUGUAAACCGCUUUUGUCAGGGAAGAAAUCUUCUGAGUUAAUACCUCGGGAGGAUGACGGUACCUGAAGAAUAAGCACCGGCUAACUACGUGCCAGCAGCCGCGGUAAUACGUAGGGUGCAAGCGUUAAUCGGAAUUACUGGGCGUAAAGCGUGCGCAGGCGGUUUUGUAAGACAGAGGUGAAAUCCCCGGGCUCAACCUGGGAACUGCCUUUGUGACUGCAAGGCUUGAGUGCGGCAGAGGGGGGCAUGGAAUUCCGCGUGUAGCAGUGGAAAUUGCGUAGAUAUGCGGAGGAACACCGAUGGCGAAGGCAAUUCCCCCUGGGCCUGCACUGACGGCUCAUGCACGAAAGCGUGGGGAGCAAACAGGAUUAGAUA